Molecule: long non-coding RNA, 720 nt
Filed under: Coffea arabica (coffee)
Lineage: Eukaryota; Viridiplantae; Streptophyta; Magnoliopsida; Gentianales; Rubiaceae
Description: long non-coding RNA (CARA_LNC006384)
Source: RNAcentral
AUUCAACAAACAACCCAGAAAUUUGCGCUACUACAGUCCUAACAAUUCAAGCAAUAACCCCCAAUAUUUAUCCAGUAACCAGUGAAUAAUUCCAAAUCUCCAAAGAAAGUCAACAGAGGGCUAAAAGUAUAAUGGACAAAGCAAGCAGAGGAACCCCAGGUGGGAACCCCGUCCACUGAAGAUGAAAAACCAACCCAAGGAAGAAUUAAACCCGUAAAUCAGUCAAUGACUCGCACAGGGGAGUUGUCCCAGAUCAUAGAUAAAGCCCUUCCUAAUCAGUAAUUGAAAUGAACAUGCAACUGCAGAUUUGCAACCAGAUUUGCAAUAGAAUUGCUCGUGAAAUCAGCACUGGAAUCAAUGGACAGAACACUCCCAACAAUUGAAGUAAAUUCGUCCAAUUUCAACAAGCAACGCAAAUGCCACCCAAUUCAACAAACAACCACAGAAAUAAUCCAACUUUUCCACAGAAACUCUGGGUCAUCGAAACCCAAACAAUUCCCAACAAAUUACUCGAAUUGAUGCACUAAUUAAAGCAACAGGUGGGAGCCCAGUUGAUUCCAAACCUGUCUGAUGGAUUGGCGGCGCUGAGGAAGGGGACAGGGAGGCUCGCGGUGUGAGAGCAAGCCAUGGGCAGCAGCUAGUUGGCUCGCCGUGCGCAAGAGAGCUAGGUUACUGCGGCAAUGAGAGGGAGAAGGAGAGCAGAGAUGCGCAGUGGCGGUG